Ctenopharyngodon idella (grass carp) is the source of this 626-nucleotide long non-coding RNA. RefSeq lists it as uncharacterized. The record is from RefSeq and is a predicted model, not a curated record. The transcript is spliced from 2 exons. Lineage: Eukaryota; Metazoa; Chordata; Actinopteri; Cypriniformes; Xenocyprididae.
UGUGAACACAGGAUGUGAUUAUAACAUCAUAACCACAAAUUAAUGGAUGGAUGGAAUCAACACACAUAAACAAACAUAUAUAAAUAUUAAAAAUAAUAGUCAGAAAUCAUGCUUGCGCACACACCAUAAUGACUGUCACCAAAAUGUUUUAUGAGAUAGAUAGAUAGAUAGAUAGAUAAAGACAGAGAUAGAUAGAUAGAUAGAUAGAUAAAGACAGAGAGGAUAGAUAGAUAGAUAGAUAAAGACAGAGAGGAUAGAUAGAUAGAUAGAUAGAUAGACAGACAGACAGACAGAUAGAUAGAUAGAUAGAUAGAUAGAUAGAUAGAUAAAGACAGAGGAUAGAUAGAUAGAUAGAUAGAUAGAUAGAUAAAGACAGAGAGGAUAGAUAGAUAGAUAGAUAGAUAGAUAGAUAGAUAAAGACAGAGAGGAAAGAUAGAUAGAUAGAUAGAUAGAUAGAUAAAGACAGAGAGGAUAGAUAGAUAGAUAGAUAGAUAGAUAGAUAGACAGACAGAUAUAUAGAUAGAUAGAUAGAUAGAUAGAUAGAUAAAGACAGAGAGGAUAGAUAGAUAGAUAAAGACAGAGAGGAUAGAUAGAUAGAUAGAUAGAUAGAUAGAUAGAUAGAUAGA